RNAcentral lists this ribosomal RNA (477 nucleotides) under uncultured bacterium. Its description in RNAcentral is "bacterial SSU rRNA". It matches the Rfam family "Bacterial small subunit ribosomal RNA", at positions 325 to 793 of the family's 1533-position model. The record is from RNAcentral.
CACUGUCACUCCUACGGGGAGGCAGCAGUGGGGGAAUAUUGCACAAUGGGCGCAAGCCUGAUGCAGCCAUGCCGCGUGUGUGAAGAAGGCCUUCGGGUUGUAAAGCACUUUCAGUCGUGAGGAAGGUAGUGUAGUUAAUAGCUGCAUUAUUUGACGUUAGCGACAGAAGAAAGCACCGGCUAACUCCGUGCCAGCAGCCGCGGUAAUACGGAGGGUGCGAGCGUUAAUCGGAAUUACUGGGCGUAAAGCGCAUGCAGGUGGUUUGUUAAGUCAGAUGUGAAAGCCCGGGGCUCAACCUCGGAAUAGCAUUUGAAACUGGCAGACUAGAGUACUGUAGAGGGGGGUAGGAAUUUCAGGUGUAGCGGUGAAAUGCGUAGAGAUCUGAAGGAAUACCGGUGGCGAAGGCGGCCCCCUGGACAGAUACUGACACUCAGAUGCGAAAGCGUGGGGAGCAAACAGGAUUAGAUACCCUGGUAG